GGACUACCGGGGUUUCUAAUCCCGUUCGCUACCCUGGCUUUCGUGUUUGAGCGUCAGGAACGUACCAGUGCAUUGCCUUCGCCUUUGGUGUUCCCCAUGAUAUCAACGGAUUUCACCCCUCCACCAUGAGUUCCAUGCACCUCUUACGCCCUCGAGCCAUACCGUUUCCCUCGCAGACCGUAGGUUGAGCCCACGGAUUUAACAAGAGACUAAUAUGGCCGCCUAGACACCCUUUACGCCCAAUGAUUCCGGGUAAUGCUUGGGGCCUCUGUAUUACCGCGGCUGCUGGCAC
RNAcentral lists this ribosomal RNA (292 nucleotides) under uncultured bacterium. Its description in RNAcentral is "partial 16S ribosomal RNA". The record is from RNAcentral.